RNAcentral lists this unclassified non-coding RNA (496 nucleotides) under Hevea brasiliensis (rubber tree). Lineage: Eukaryota; Viridiplantae; Streptophyta; Magnoliopsida; Malpighiales; Euphorbiaceae. The record is from RNAcentral.
ACCGAUGAAAAGGGAAAAAAAAAUCUCGUCAAUCGGAUGGCCAAAACCAAAAGCCAUAUAAAAGCCGCUUGGAAGAAGAGACGUAAUCGAAACUAGAAAUGNNNNNNNNUUGCGCAUUUCUCUGCGUUCAUAACAGAGCCAUUGAGACCUCUACACCACCAAAAUCGAGUCCUCUAUUCGCUUCCGCCGAGAACUGCUGCCGCCCCUGGAUUUUCUAGCGGGAAAUCGAUCCGUGGAUUUUGUAGAAACAUCAGUAGGGCUCACGAUUUCCACUUCGAGAGACCAAGCCACCUUAAUUGCUCUGCUUCUGCUGGUGAUAACAACUCCUCAGCUUCCGAGGAUGAGCAGGACCAAGGGCCGCCCCAAGAAGCUGUUCUCAAAGCUAUUUCUGAGGUGUCUAAGACGGAAGGGAGGGUUGGGCAGACCACAAAUGUGGUCAUUGGAGGUACAGUGACUGAUGAUUCUACCAACGAAUGGCUUGCUUUGGAUCAGAAGG